This 73-nucleotide transfer RNA is filed under the name Rattus norvegicus (Norway rat). It matches the Rfam family "tRNA". Rfam says of the family: Transfer RNA (tRNA) molecules are approximately 80 nucleotides in length. Their secondary structure includes four short double-helical elements and three loops (D, anti-codon, and T loops). The record is from Rfam by way of RNAcentral. Lineage: Eukaryota; Metazoa; Chordata; Mammalia; Rodentia; Muridae.
AGGGAUGUAACUAGGUUGGCAGGGUAAUUGCCUAGCAUGCAUGAAGCUCUGGGUUCCACUCCCAGCCUCCCCA